CCCUCUAGUUGCGGGUAUAAAAGAGCCGGGUACAUGUUGCCCGAUUGCCUUAGUCUCUCCGGUGCCCGCGUUUUGUGGAUUUCGAUUGUGAUUCCUUCCUUCAGCCUUACAAAACCCCAGCAGCAGAAAUGGAUCUGAGUGCUCGCGACAUUGAAAGGGGGAAAUUCGCCUUCUCCAUCUACGAUUUUGAGGGUAAUGAGACUAUGGACAUGUUCUACUUGGGAGACUGCCUCCGAGCUCUUAACCUAAACCCCACCUUGGCUCAAAUCGAGAAAAUGGGUGGCACAAAGAAGAAGGGAGAGAAGAAGAUCAAGGCUGACGAAUUCUUGCCCAUCUUCUGCCAGAUCAAGAAAGAAAAGGAUCAAGGCACCAUUGAAGAUUUCAUUGAGUGCAUGAAACUCUACGACAAGACCGACAACGGAACCAUGGUCUUCGCAGAGCUCCAACACAUCCUCAUGGCUUUGGGCGAGCGCCUCGAAGAGAAGGAAGUCGAUGACAUCAUGGCUGCCUGCUGCGACCCCGAGGAUGAGGAUGGCUUGAUCCCCUACAAACCGUUUCUUAACCGACUUUUGGCCGGACCCUACCCCGACAGUCAGCAAUAAGAUUUUUAAGUGUUACGCCUCUUCAACCCUACCCUUCAACAAAAAAACAAAAAAAACGCAAACAGUUACACAUCCAUCAGCUUUCUUGGAGAAAAUGAUUGCUGGUCCUUUCCCGGACGCGGAAUAAACAUCAACAUCAACAACACCCACACCCAACCGUGAAAAACCGCAAAAAUUUCUUCUUGUCACAACCACCAGUUGCCAAAGAAUGGAUUAAUUAUCACAAAUAACCAAUACAACAUACAAAGACGAGAUUCUUUUUCAUUGAUUUAACAGAUUUAUUAUGAUGUCUCCAAUUCUGUUUUGUUUGUUUUCUUUUUUGAUUUGAGGGGAAUCGAGUAGGAACGAGGGGAAGGGCGACGUCAUCAGCAGAUCAGCUUCGUUGUUUUUCGUGGAAAAAAAAAACUUUUUUUUGUGAAAAGAAGAACGAGUUAACAAAAUAAUUAAAAUUAAAAGCAUCGAAUCCUGUGUCGUUUGAGGGAAGGGAGACUUAAUGUAACAGCCGAAUAAAGUCAUAUGUGCAUGAUUGUGA
RNA transcript from Daphnia pulicaria, 1134 nucleotides. It is a transcript of the gene named myosin light chain 1-like, with no coding region annotated. NCBI's taxonomy places the organism in Eukaryota, Metazoa, Arthropoda, Branchiopoda, Diplostraca, Daphniidae. The transcript has 7 exons. The record is from RefSeq and is a predicted model, not a curated record.